GUAUAGGUCUGCGGGAUUCGCCUGUCGCUUCCCUCUUUGCCUCGGUGUCAGUCGGUGGGGAGCACGUGUUUUCCCGUUUUAGGGGCCCAGCGAGGUCGGUGGCAAAUGGCGGAAGGAGCCCAGGUGGCCUUUGGGGUUUUGAAAAACGCAAAUGAACUCUUAAGUAGUAGAGCACGCAGGAGCGAGGCCCUGGGUUCUAGCUCCAGACCAGGAAGGUAAUUAAUCCUUAGAGUGAAUCCUCAGAAUGGAAUUCUUAAAAAAGGGCAACCUUGGCUGCUUCUAGGAUAUUUUUAGCAAACAAGUAACAUUUAAAGUUUAUGAAAUUCUAACCCAACAAUGUGCUUGUGGAAAGUUCUUCCACUGCUCUUUUGACUGUUUAGACAAUUUGUCAAACACUUUUCUAAUUUAAAGAUGAAUGGAAAUUUUCAAAAAGAGCCCUAGCAUGAGCGUCUUCUGUUGUCUUUCCUUCUUCUCUUCCUCUUUUUCCUUUUCCUCAAAAGACUUCAUUACAAGUGAUUUCCUAAUGAUAUGGCCUGUGCUUAUGCAAGGUGGCCAACUUUCAUUUUUUCUUUUUUUAAAUCUUUAUUUACUUUUCACCUGGUGCUGAGGAUCGAACCCAGUGCCUCACAUGUGGUAGGCGAGCGCUCAACAGCUGAGCCACAACCCCAGCCCCAACUCUUUUCUUCUAAUUCAUAGUUUAAAAAAAAAUUUUUUUUCUCCCUGGUACUGUUAAAGAGCUGGGGCCUUCUGAAACACUGAGGUAGUGUUAAAAUACACCUUUCAAACCUAGAUUUGGGUGAUGAAGUCAGAUUUCAGACAUGCCACGCAGAGUAACAGGAAUGAAUUUAUUGAAGGGACAGGAGAAAGGAGGCCCUCUCAAAAGAGAGAGUGGGUCGUCUCCGAGAGGAGAGAAACAAUGUGCCUCUCUUUUACUCUAGUGUUAUUGGGAAUCCCAGAGAAGUUCCCAAAGAAUCCUGCUCAGGUCCACCCUCUUUACUUUUGACUGACAGCAAGAUGACAUCAGACUUCCAAGUACCCACUGCCAUGGCAACUCUAGAUCACCUUAGCCCAUGCUGAUCAGUUCAUAAUUGGAUUAUUAACCAUAUAGUGUUACAGAUUUUAUGGUUAGGAGGAACUGUCAUCUCCCAGACUUUUAGGAUCUGCUCACAAAAAUCUUCCCCUUAAGAGUAAUUUAUCAACAUUAUUUUGGGCCUGCAUUUCUCCUGCAGUUAACAGGUAGUUUGCUGAGGAAUGUGACAUGUCCUGUCCAUUUAGGCCAGUCAGGGCUGCAGGUAUAGCUUCUUGGAAAAGAAAGCAUGUACAGGUCAGCACUGUGGACCUAUUUUAUAGGAUUAUUCUCUUAACUUCAUGUUCCCUCCAUUCUCAUCUCUCUCUUCCCUAACAGUAAUAGGGAUUGACCACAGAGAGCUUUAUUACUGAGCCAUAUCUCUAGCUGGUCUUGAACUUGCACUCCUCCUGCCUCAGCCUCUCAAGCCUCUGUGAUUACAGCUAUGCACCACCAUGUCCAGCCUCCAUUCUUUUUUAAAUUUGAUUUUGAGACAGGAUCUCCCUGAAUUGCUCAGGCUGGUAUUGAACUUUUGAAACUCCUGUUUCAGUCUUCCCAGUCCCUAGAAUUACAGGUUUGCACCACCGUGGCCACCACUGCUUGAUUUUUUUUUUUUUUUUCGUAAGAAAUCUAAAUUAUCAACAUCCAUGUCUCAGUUUUUUCUUGUGUAACAGGGACUUGAACCAGGUUAUUUUUGCACACAAAUUGUGUGGCCACCUGAGGCCAAGUAUAGGUUUAGUGGAUUUCUUCCCUGGAGAGAGGAAGGUACCUCCAAGUGAGAUUGCCACUGGCUUUGGUCUCCAACCUCUUGGGAAAAGUAGUGCCAUCCCAUCUUUACAGUGGAGGCAAAGGAGAGGCUGUAAAACACUGGAGCCCCAGAGACAAGCUGUUUGUCAAGCUAUGGAGUUAAAACUGUGAGAAGCUUAGAAGGCAUUCACCUCGAUUACUUAAGCAAUGUGUGUGGGAAAGGACGCUGUUUAUCAUAUUUAAAGCUCCAGAUUGACCCAUAAAAAUGUAUCCCUGGGGCUGUGGCUCAGUGGUAGAGCAUGUGGCAUGUGUGAGGCGCUGGGUUCCAGAUUCUCAGCACCGCAUAUAAAUAAAUGAAUAAAAUAAAGAUCUAUUAACAACUAAAAAUUUUUUUUUUAAAAUGUAUCCCUAGCUGUGUGUGGUGGGGUACACCUGUAGUCUCAUCACUCAGGGAGGCUGACGUGGGUGGAGCCCUUGAGUCCAGGAAUUUGGGACCAGUUUGGGCAACAUAGCAAAGCACCUGUCUCUAAAAAUAAAAUAAAAAUCUCUUUAUUUAGCCAGACUCAGUGGCCUAUGUCUGUAAUCCCAGUAUUUGGGGAGCAGAAGGAUUACAAAUUCAAAGCCAGCCUCAGCAAUUUAGCAACACCCUGUCUCAAGAAAUUAAAAGGACUGGAGAUGUAGCUCAGUGGCUAAACACCCCCCCCCCAAAAAAAAAUUUUUUUCUAUUGAGUUAAUAUCUAGAGUCUCUUUUGGGCAUUGUAGAUUUUUUGGUAUUUUUGAAAUUGAAAAGUUGAAUGAUUUUUUUUUGGGGGGGAGGGGGUAUUUUUGAAAUUGAGGACAACUUCCUCAUGCUGAAAGUAAAGGCUAAAAGGCUAGAAGGUGAGGAAUAUCUAAGAGGCUAAGUAGAGAUUACCCCCUGCCCCACCAGUCCUGCACAGGUUAACUAAAUCUGCAUGUGUAUUUACUGCAUUUUUUUCUCAAAUUGCCAUCUCUAUUAAAUUUUUCUUUCCACAGAGCCUCCAAAGGUGGAAAUUGAUUCAUGUGUUUUGUUUGUUUUUGAACCCAGGGGUGCUUUACCAUUGAGCCAUAUCCCCAAGACCUCUUUUUUUUUUUGGAACUUGAUAAGUUCUUAGGGCCUUGCUAAAUUGCUGAGGCUGGCCUUGAACUUGUGAUCCUCCUGCCUCAGCCUCCUAAAUAACUGGGAUUACAGGCAUGUGCCACCACAAUCAACUAAGAUGGAAAUUUUGAAACAAAAAUUUUCCUUAAAUUGGCUUUGAAUAAAACCUAUUUUCCUGCCAACUUGACUGAAUAUUUGUAAAAUAAUGAGAGGUGUAGCCUAACCUCUCCAAACAGUAACAGUACCAUAAGGUAAUGUUAUUGAAAGCUUCUCCUUGCAUCCAAUGCCAAUCCAGUAAUGAGGACACAUUUUUGAGAAAAAGGAAAAACUUUUAUUGCUUUGCUAGCACAGGAGAAACACAGGGGACUCCUGUCCCAGAGGCUGUGAUUCUGUCUAUCAGAGGGAACAGGAGGUUUUUAAAGAGGUGAAUCCAAGGCUGCAUUCCACAUGUUCUCUGUCAGAGUUGUAAUUCACUUCUUAAUUUGGGAGCUGGUCUUUUCUGAGAUCUUCUGGUGUCAUCCCCAAAUCUAAAUUACUUUUUUCCUAUGGUGGGUGUGUCUUCAAGGACUGAUAACUCUGCCUAAAAUGAGUGAGAAAGGCAAUCCUGUGUCUCCUGAGAUUAUGGAGAGAAAGAAGUUAGGGAGGAGGAGAAAGAGAAGAAGAGAAAGAAACAUGCCCUUUAAAAAAUAAGUCACGGUGUCAGAGCAGCAAGGGCUAAAAUGGACUAUAACAGGGGUUCACUUGAUGCUUUGACUAUAUCCCUGGGGCUUUGAAACUUUCAUUUUUUUUUUCUUUUCCCAGACUUCUCCUUGGUCUUCUUUUUUUCUGGUCUCUCCUCUCUAUUCUUAUUUUCUCUUUUUCAUCUCUAUAAAAACCCCCCUGUUCCUAUGGAUGGGCAGAAUCACAGCCUUUGGGAAAGGAGUCCCCUGUGUUUCUCCUUUGCUAACAAAGCAAUAAACCCUCUUUUUUUCUUUUUCUCAACUGUGUCCUUGAGGUCGGGGAUACAGAUCAGCUGGUAGAACACUUAUCUAGCAUACACAAGGCCCUAGGUUCAAUCCCCAGCACUAUCAAAAACAAACAAAAAAACCCAACUGUGUCCCCAUUGGAUUGGUAUCAGGGACAAGGACCAAGCUUUCAGCAACAGGACCACUGUUACAAUAAAGCUCUAUGUAAUUUUCGGUCUAUAUUAUCACUCUACCCCUAUUCUAUACAUAUUUCUCAGUAAUCUGUCAGGUAUUGGGUUGGUAGUAGCUAGCAAUGGGAAGUGAAAUGUAUGUCAAAGUCACAGGUUUACUUCUAAGUACUCUUAAGAGUUUUCUUUAAGUUACUGCCAAGACAGAAUAAAUAAUUUGUAGCAGAUAGCCUGUAGAAAAACAUCAGAGUAUGCAAAACUUGAGGAUAAACAGACAAAAGUUAAAGGGAUAAUGGGGAGGGGGAUGCCUCAAGAAAGGAUUUAUGGAACUUUUUUGGGGGGGGAGGUUACCAGGGAUUGAACUCAGGGGUACUCAACCACUGGCUACAUCCAGUGUUUUGUUUUAAGUAUACAUGGGAUUUUUUAAUACCUUUAUUUUGUUUAUUUUUUUUUCAAAAUUUUUUAAAUAUUUAUUUUUUAGUUAUAAGUGGACACAAUAUCUUUAUUUUAUUUAUUUAUUUAUUCAUUGGUGCUCCUGAAGAUCAAACCCAGUGCCUCACACAUAUGAGGCAAGCGCUGUAUGGCUGAGCCACAACCCCAGGUCUGCCAGCCCUAUUUUGUAUUUUAUUUAGAGAUGGGGUCUCACUGAGUUGCUUAGCACCUCGCUGUUGCUGAGGCUGGCUUUGAACCUGUGAUCCUCCUGCUUCAGCCUCCCAAACCACUGGGAUUAGAGUCCUAUGCCACCACACCUGGCUGGGAUUAACUCUUGACAGGACCCAUCAAGAUCAAGAUAAAAUUAGAAGUUAUGGUACCAAGUGUCUUCUACUAGCUCAGAACAAGGGGUUCUUUAGUAGCACAGAGGCAGCAAGGUAACCUCUGACUGGCUACUGAUCCCAGUGCCCACAUUAACAUGUAAUUGACUUUCAGAUUAAGCCCCUCUACAUAGGAUGGCCACCAGGACAGUCCUGGAGGGGACCAACGAAGGUCAAAACCUCCACCACCAGAUGUGAAGGAGGAGUUGAACACCCAAUGGCAAAGAGUAUAGAGGGUAGUCCACAGUUCUCCUGGUAAACAAUCAAACAGUAAUAAAUUUGGAGACAGCAUUAUCUCCUUUGUCAUUCUCUCUUGAGUGCUCUGUGCUUGAGCCUUUCUUUACUUGUACUUUAUUCUCACCUAAUUUCUACUCUACUGUCAUUUAAAAUAAAGUUAUCUUACAUGGC
RNAcentral lists this long non-coding RNA (5282 nucleotides) under Marmota monax (woodchuck). The record is from RNAcentral. Lineage: Eukaryota; Metazoa; Chordata; Mammalia; Rodentia; Sciuridae.